RNAcentral lists this ribosomal RNA (764 nucleotides) under uncultured Campylobacterota bacterium. RNAcentral's name for it is "bacterial SSU rRNA". It matches the Rfam family "Bacterial small subunit ribosomal RNA", at positions 8 to 785 of the family's 1533-position model. The record is from RNAcentral. Lineage: Bacteria; Pseudomonadati; Campylobacterota.
AGAGUUUGAUCCUGGCUCAGAGUGAACGCUGGCGGCGUGCUUAACACAUGCAAGUCGAACGGUAACAGAUAAUAGCUUGCUAUUAUGCUGACGAGUGGCGAACGGGUGAGUAAUGUAUAGAUAACGUGCCUUUUAGUUUGGGAUAGCCAUUGGAAACGAUGAUUAAUACCGAAUAUUCCUUUUUAACUUAAGUUGAAUUGGGAAAGUUUUUUCGCUAAGAGAUCGGUCUAUAUUGCAUCAGUUAGUUGGUGAGGUAAUGGCUUACCAAGACAAUGACGCAUAGCGGGUUUGAGAGGAUGAUCCGCCACACUGGUACUGAGACACGGACCAGACUCCUACGGGAGGCAGCAGUGAGGAAUAUUGCACAAUGGGGGGAACCCUGAUGCAGCAACGCCGCGUGGAGGAUGACGCAUUUCGGUGUGUAAACUCCUUUUAUAGGUCAAGAAGAUGACGGUAGCCUAUGAAUAAGCUCCGGCUAACUCCGUGCCAGCAGCCGCGGUAAUACGGGGGGAGCAAGCGUUACUCGGAAUCACUGGGCGUAAAGGACGCGUAGGCGGACUAAAAAGUCAGAUGUGAAAGCCUAUAGCUUAACUAUAGAACUGCAUUUGAAACUCUUAGUCUAGAGUAUGGGAGGGGCAGAUGGAAUUAGUGGUGUAGGGGUAAAAUCCGUAGAUAUCACUAGGAAUACCGUAAGCGAAGGCGAUCUGCUGGAACAUUACUGACGCUAAGGCGUGAAAGCGUGGGGAGCAAACGGGAUUAGAUAC